AUUGAACGCUGGCGGCAGGCCUAACACAUGCAAGUCGAACGGUAACAGGAAACAGCUUGCUGUUUCGCUGACGAGUGGCGGACGGGUGAGUAAUGUCUGGGAAACUGCCUGAUGGAGGGGGAUAACUACUGGAAACGGUAGCUAAUACCGCAUAACGUCGCAAGACCAAAGAGGGGGACCUUCGGGCCUCUUGCCAUCGGAUGUGCCCAGAUGGGAUUAGCUAGUAGGUGGGGUAACGGCUCACCUAGGCGACGAGCCCUAGCUGGUCUGAGGGGAUGACCAGCCACACUGGAACUGAGACACGGUCCAGACUCCUACGGGAGUCAGCAGUGGGGAAUAUUGCACAAUGGGCGCAAGCCUGAUGCAGCCAUGCCGCGUGUAUGAAGAAGGCCUUCGGGUUGUAAAGUACUUUCAGCGGGGAGGGAGGGAGUAAAGUUAAUACCUUUGCUCAUUGACGUUACCCGCAGAAGAAGCACCGGCUAACUCCGUGCCAGCAGCCGCGGUAA
This 506-nucleotide ribosomal RNA is filed under the name uncultured bacterium. RNAcentral's name for it is "partial 16S ribosomal RNA". It matches the Rfam family "Bacterial small subunit ribosomal RNA", at positions 30 to 523 of the family's 1533-position model. The record is from RNAcentral.